This 460-nucleotide ribosomal RNA is filed under the name uncultured bacterium. RNAcentral's name for it is "partial 16S ribosomal RNA". It matches the Rfam family "Bacterial small subunit ribosomal RNA", at positions 338 to 795 of the family's 1533-position model. The record is from RNAcentral.
CCUACGGGGGGCUGCAGUGAGGAAUAUUGGUCAAUGGCCGGAAGGCUGAACCAGCCAUGCCGCGUGAAGGUCAGUGCCCUAUGGGCGUUAAACUUCUUUUGUGCGGGAGCAAUAAUGGUCACGUGUGGCCAGACGAGAGUACCGUACGAAUAAGCAUCGGCUAACUCCGUGCCAGCAGCCGCGGUAAUACGGGGGAUGCAAGCGUUAUCCGGAUUUAUUGGGGUUAAAGGGUGCGUAGGCUGUGGUGUAAGUCAGCGGUGAAAUGCCCCCGCUCAACGGGGUGAAGUGCCAUUGAUACUGCCUUGCUGGAAUGCGGAUGCCGUGGGAGGAAUGUGUGGUGUAGCGGUGAAAUGCAUAGAUAUCACACAGAACACCGAUUGCGAAGGCAUCUUACUAAACUGCCACUGACAUUGAUGCUCGAAAGUGUGGGUAUCAAACAGGAUUAGAUACCCUUGUAGUC